RNAcentral lists this ribosomal RNA (253 nucleotides) under uncultured bacterium. Its description in RNAcentral is "partial 16S ribosomal RNA". It matches the Rfam family "Bacterial small subunit ribosomal RNA", at positions 524 to 776 of the family's 1533-position model. The record is from RNAcentral.
UACGUAGGGUGCGAGCGUUGUCCGGAAUUAUUGGGCGUAAAGGGCUCGUAGGCGGUCUGUCACGUCGGGAGUGAAAACUCAGGGCUUAACCCUGAGCCUGCUUCCGAUACGGGCAGACUAGAGGUAUGCAGGGGAGAACGGAAUUCCUGGUGUAGCGGUGAAAUGCGCAGAUAUCAGGAGGAACACCGGUGGCGAAGGCGGGUCUCUGGGCCGGUACUGACGCUGAGGAGCGAAAGCGUGGGGAGCGAAUAGG